This 669-nucleotide ribosomal RNA is filed under the name Bacillus pumilus. RNAcentral's name for it is "bacterial SSU rRNA". It matches the Rfam family "Bacterial small subunit ribosomal RNA", at positions 121 to 776 of the family's 1533-position model. The record is from RNAcentral. Lineage: Bacteria; Bacillati; Bacillota; Bacilli; Caryophanales; Bacillaceae.
GUAACCUGCCUGUAAGACUGGGAUAACUCCGGGAAACCGGAGCUAAUACCGGAUAGUUCCUUGAACCGCAUGGUUCAAGGAUGAAAGACGGUUUCGGCUGUCACUUACAGAUGGACCCGCGGCGCAUUAGCUAGUUGGUGGGGUAAUGGCUCACCAAGGCGACGAUGCGUAGCCGACCUGAGAGGGUGAUCGGCCACACUGGGACUGAGACACGGCCCAGACUCCUACGGGAGGCAGCAGUAGGGAAUCUUCCGCAAUGGACGAAAGUCUGACGGAGCAACGCCGCGUGAGUGAUGAAGGUUUUCGGAUCGUAAAGCUCUGUUGUUAGGGAAGAACAAGUGCGAGAGUAACUGCUCGCACCUUGACGGUACCUAACCAGAAAGCCACGGCUAACUACGUGCCAGCAGCCGCGGUAAUACGUAGGUGGCAAGCGUUGUCCGGAAUUAUUGGGCGUAAAGGGCUCGCAGGCGGUUUCUUAAGUCUGAUGUGAAAGCCCCCGGCUCAACCGGGGAGGGUCAUUGGAAACUGGGAAACUUGAGUGCAGAAGAGGAGAGUGGAAUUCCACGUGUAGCGGUGAAAUGCGUAGAGAUGUGGAGGAACACCAGUGGCGAAGGCGACUCUCUGGUCUGUAACUGACGCUGAGGAGCGAAAGCGUGGGGAGCGAACAGG